Molecule: long non-coding RNA, 729 nt
Filed under: Equus caballus (horse)
Lineage: Eukaryota; Metazoa; Chordata; Mammalia; Perissodactyla; Equidae
Description: lncRNA (ENSECAG00000052465.1)
Source: RNAcentral
CUGAAAGCCUGGGCGGAUUCCCUGCUGGAGAGGCAGGGCCCCAUCCCCUGCUGCUCUGGGGGGCAGGGGCCGGAAGAUGGUGGCCAAUGAGGAGGGGGAGCGGAGAGAACUUGAGCCGGGGCCUCCCCUCCCCCAUUUCCUCCUCGGUCUCUACACCCGCCUCUGGAAGGAGCUGGGGGAUGGCUCCUGGGCCUAAGGUGGGGGAGGGGCCCUGCUGGCUGGUGAAUCGCAGGGCCCGCUCUGGAAUGAGUUGGGUGUGAGAGCCGAGGGGAUCUUGGCUCCAGGCCCCUCUCUUUUCUCUCUUCGAGGAGGGGUCUGGGCACGCCUUGGCGAAGAAUCUUCCCCUAGCCUCCCUGCAGCUUGCCGGGCAGUCCUGCCUUUGCCCCUCUGCCCCUUGUUGACAUGAUCCAGUUCCCAGCUGAGACUGGUUUGCCCAACCUAGGAACAGAGGCCUGGUGACUGACCCAGCAGGGCCUUGGUUUCCGUCCAUUAGAACUGUGCAAACUGUGGGACGGGGGCCCCAUGUUUGCAGAUUACAGGAGCAAACGCUGCCUGGGAAGCUGGGGGAGAACCUCUCCUGCUUCCUGAGGCGGGUGGGAGGAAGCUGGAGGGGAAGCCCAGAGGAAGAGCUCCCAACUGGAAUUCUGUCCUCCAUUCCUCCUGCUGGCUGUGGCGUGGGGAGGAGGGCAUCUCUCAGGGGGUCACUCCAUCGGCCAGAGGCCUUCGUUG